This is a long non-coding RNA of Numida meleagris (helmeted guineafowl), 1527 nucleotides long. RefSeq lists it as uncharacterized. The record is from RefSeq and is a predicted model, not a curated record. NCBI's taxonomy places the organism in Eukaryota, Metazoa, Chordata, Aves, Galliformes, Numididae. The transcript has 4 exons.
CAUACAAAGUAAGGUAUGUGCUUUAAAAGUAGGAACUGAAAAAGAAUUCUGUAAGAGAGGUUGGGUUGGUUGGCUGUUCUUCUGGUUUGUAUGUUUGUUAAAUAUAGACUGUGUUUGUAUAGAACACUGAAAGGCAGAGAUACAGGCUACAACUGGAUGUGGUAGGGGUGAAGAUAGAGCCACUGAGCAAUGUCAUAGAAAGCCUAUUUGUUUUCUGGCAGAACUGGUGCUGAAAUUGAGCACGUACCUGCAGCUGCCAGAGUCAGCACAGCAAAGAGGACUCCAAGCAUCUUGCCAGGUAACUGCAUGCUGCAGGCUCUGCUUUGCAGCUUGUUUUAUAUCUCACCUCUGGGGGACGUGACUGCUGUGAUACCAAUGGAAAACUGUGGGAUAAUUUUUUAUAUGCACAAAUGCUUAAGGGAAAGAAAAAAACCAUAUAGAUGGACCUUGAAUCUGGGCUAAAUAUACAACUUCGGCUAAAAAUGAUUUCGAUUGAGUUGCAUGUAAUCUGUAGCAGUUGUUUGUUUUCCCAUUGCCUUGAAAGUUCAUCAGGAAGGUGUUUCCUGAAAGGAAACAUUAAUGAGUUAUGCUAACACUUGAUAGCGUGUGAGCAGCAACGCUAUCUGACAUAUUCAGAUAGUGAUAGAUUUGAACACAUCAGUGGGAUUGGAGUCAUCUCCAGACAUCUCUUCCGGCUUUAGUUGUUACCAAGUUGUGUGCGUUUCAGCAUGCCAUCCUUCCUCACUAAAACCAGCUGUGAUCACUCGGGAGUAGACGUUACAAGGAAUACAGAGAACAAGCUGACCGUGAUGAUGGAGGAACACUGGUGCAGCAGGGUCUAGUCUGAAUAGGCUGAAGUAUCUUUCUUGGACACAGUGGACAUCAUAUGUUGGCAGCUCUGCUGUCUUAUAUCUAAAUCCUCAUCCUGAUACCAUGGUGGCUUGGAAACAGCUCCCAAGAAACUCUUAUCUUUGUGCCGGAUGUUUCACAGAACUUAAGCAGCUCCCAGGGCUUCAGUAAGAAAGAGCACAGGUACUUCCAGUGUGUUGUUAAAGCAUAAUAGCUAAUAAUUCUGUCCAUGCACUUGAUGUACAAUCUAUUAGGUAGUCCAUGGGCUCACCAUGUAUUCCUUUGGAGGGCAGUAAACAUGCUAUAGACUAAUUAGUAAGUGAAGCAGCCUGCAGGCAAGUAACAGACAGGGAAAUCUAUUUCUCUGCGGGAGGUUUUUCCAUCCCAAACUGGACAAUAACCUACUAAAAAAUUUGAAGUCAAAUCCUGCCCCAGCUUUCCACUGGGAAAAAUGUGCCAGUUCAUUACUUCCUGUACGAUCGUUAAAUUCGUUGCUUGAUUGUUCCCUUUAUGAUCCACUUAUUUGUCUUCUUCAAACUUAAGCUUGGUCUGCACGCUUCCAGAUAAAACAAUGUUACCUAGAGCCAGGGAAUGAAGAUCAGCACUGUCCUGUGUUUCUGUUGUUGUGCUUUCCAGCUUCUGCCUUCAAAAUUGACUGUUUCCUGCUUGGACACAUUC